UGAGGAAUAUUGGUCAAUGGGUGCAAGCCUGAACCAGCCAUCCCGCGUGAAGGACGACUGCCCUAUGGGUUGUAAACUUCUUUUGUAUAGGGAUAAACCUACCCUCGUGAGGGUAGCUGAAGGUACUAUACGAAUAAGCACCGGCUAACUCCGUGCCAGCAGCCGCGGUAAUACGGAGGGUGCAAGCGUUAUCCGGAUUUAUUGGGUUUAAAGGGUCCGUAGGCGGACUUAUAAGUCAGUGGUUAAAGCCUGUCGCUUAACGAUAGAACUGACAUUGAUAAUGUAAGUCUUGAGUAUAUUUGAGGUAGCUGGAAUAAGUAGUGUAGCGGUGAAAUGCAUAGAUAUUACUUAGAACACCAAUUGCGAAGGCAGGUUACCAAGAUAUAACUGACGCUGAGGGACGAAAGCGUGGGGAGCGAACA
This 422-nucleotide ribosomal RNA is filed under the name uncultured bacterium. RNAcentral's name for it is "bacterial SSU rRNA". It matches the Rfam family "Bacterial small subunit ribosomal RNA", at positions 355 to 774 of the family's 1533-position model. The record is from RNAcentral.